RNAcentral lists this ribosomal RNA (897 nucleotides) under uncultured Thermoplasmatales archaeon. RNAcentral describes it as "bacterial SSU rRNA". It matches the Rfam family "Archaeal small subunit ribosomal RNA", at positions 21 to 923 of the family's 1478-position model. Lineage: Archaea; Methanobacteriati; Thermoplasmatota; Thermoplasmata; Thermoplasmatales. The record is from RNAcentral.
AGGUCACUGCUAUUGGGAUUCGACUAAGCCAUGCGAGUCGAGAGGGUUCGGCCCUCGGCAAACUGCUCAGUAACACGUGGAUAAUCUGCCCUUAGGUGGAGGAUAACCUUGGGAAACUGAGAAUAAUACUCCAUAGAUCUACGAUGUUGGAAUACACAUAGAUUGAAAGUUCCGACGCCUAAGGAUGAGUCUGCGGACUAUCAGGUUGUAGUCAGGGUAAGGACCUGACUAGCCUACAACGGAUACGGGUUGUGAGAGCAAUAACCCGGAGACGAUAUCUGAGACACGAUAUCGGGCCCUACGGGGCGCAGCAGGCGCGAAACCUUCACAAUGUGCGAAAGCGCGAUGAGGGGAUCCCAAGUGCUUGCACUUAAGUGUAAGCUGUUUCUUUGUUUAAAAUGCAGAGAGAGUAAGGGCUGGGUAAGACGGGUGCCAGCCGCCGCGGUAAUACCUGCAGCUCAAGUGGUGACCGCUAUUAUUGGGCCUAAAACGUUCGUAGCCGGCUGAGUAAAUGCUUGGGUAAAUCGUGCCGCUUAACGGUACGAAUUCCGGGUAGACUACUCAGCUUGAGACCGGGAGAAGCUAGAGGUACUCCUGGGGUAGAGGUGAAAUUCUGUAAUCCUGGGGGGACCACCAGUGGCGAAGGCGUCUAGCUAGAACGGGUCUGACGGUGAGGGACGAAACCCUGGGGCGCGAACCGGAUUAGAUACCCGGGUAGUCCAGGGCGCAAACGCUGCUUGCUUGAUGUUAGCUGGGCUCCGAGCUCAGCUAGUGUCGGAGAGAAGUUGUUAAGCAAGCUGCCUGGGAAGUACGAUCGCAAGAUUGAAACUUAAAGGAAUUGGCGGGGGAGCACAGCAACGGGUGGAGCGUGCGGUUUAAUUGGAUUCAACGCCGGGA